UAGCAUUUAGGAAGUGCUUAGCUGGUUAUAGUAAGAAAACCUUAAUUUAACCUGUUCGUCAUGAGCUUGCCUGUGGGAUACAUGCAAGCU
RNAcentral lists this small RNA (90 nucleotides) under Prochlorococcus marinus str. MIT 9202. RNAcentral's name for it is "Cyanobacterial functional RNA 20". It matches the Rfam family "Cyanobacterial functional RNA 20". The record is from Rfam by way of RNAcentral. Lineage: Bacteria; Bacillati; Cyanobacteriota; Cyanophyceae; Synechococcales; Prochlorococcaceae.